UCGGUCCCGGUUCACGACAGGCAACCCGCCCGUCGACCCGGUACC
Molecule: non-coding RNA, 45 nt
Organism: Streptomyces autolyticus
Lineage: Bacteria; Bacillati; Actinomycetota; Actinomycetes; Kitasatosporales; Streptomycetaceae
Source: Rfam